UGAGGCACUGGUUCCUGAACCAUCACCAAAGCGAAGCAACAUUGAGCCUUAUCAGUACUUAGAUGGGUGACUGCUUGGGAAUACCAGGUGCUGUAAG
Acanthosepion pharaonis is the source of this 97-nucleotide non-coding RNA. The record is from the annotation of a GenBank genome assembly. NCBI's taxonomy places the organism in Eukaryota, Metazoa, Mollusca, Cephalopoda, Sepiida, Sepiidae.